RNAcentral lists this ribosomal RNA (798 nucleotides) under uncultured bacterium. Its description in RNAcentral is "bacterial SSU rRNA". It matches the Rfam family "Bacterial small subunit ribosomal RNA", at positions 92 to 891 of the family's 1533-position model. The record is from RNAcentral.
CGACCGGCGCACGGGUGAGUAACACGUAUCCAACCUGCCGUCUACUCUUGGACAGCCUUCUGAAAGGAAGAUUAAUACAAGAUGGCAUCAUGAGUCCGCAUGUUCACAUGAUUAAAGGUAUUCCGGUAGACGAUGGGGAUGCGUUCCAUUAGAUAGUAGGCGGGGUAACGGCCCACCUAGUCUUCGAUGGAUAGGGGUUCUGAGAGGAAGGUCCCCCACAUUGGAACUGAGACACGGUCCAAACUCCUACGGGAGGCAGCAGUGAGGAAUAUUGGUCAAUGGGCGAGAGCCUGAACCAGCCAAGUAGCGUGAAGGAUGACUGCCCUAUGGGUUGUAAACUUCUUUUAUAAAGGAAUAAAGUCGGGUAUGCAUACCCGUUUGCAUGUACUUUAUGAAUAAGGAUCGGCUAACUCCGUGCCAGCAGCCGCGGUAAUACAGAGGAUCCGAGCGUUAUCCGGAUUUAUUGGGUUUAAGGGGAGCGUAGAUGGAUGUUUAAGUCAGUUGUGAAAGUUUGCGGCUCAACCAUAAAAUUGCAGUUGAUACUGGAUAUCUUGAGUGCAGUUGAGGCAGGCGGAAUUCGUGGUGUAGCGGUGAAAUGCUUAGAUAUCACGAAGAACUCCGAUUGCGAAGGCAGCCUGCUAAGCUGCAACUGACAUUGAGGCUCGAAAGUGUGGGUAUCAAACAGGAUUAGAUACCCUGGUAGUCCACACGGUAAACGAUGAAUACUCGCUGUUUGCGAUAUACGGCAAGCGGCCAAGCGAAAGCGUUAAGUAUUCCACCUCGGGAAAACGCCGGCAC